Molecule: ribosomal RNA, 532 nt
Filed under: uncultured Preussia
Lineage: Eukaryota; Fungi; Ascomycota; Dothideomycetes; Pleosporales; Sporormiaceae
Description: SSU rRNA
Rfam family: Eukaryotic small subunit ribosomal RNA
Source: RNAcentral
AAAACCAAUGCCCUUCGGGGCUCUUUGGUGAUUCAUGAUAACUUAACGGAUCGCAUGGCCUUGCGCCGGCGACGGUUCAUUCAAAUUUCUGCCCUAUCAACUUUCGAUGGUAAAGUAUUGGCUUACCAUGGUUUCAACGGGUAACGGGGAAUUAGGGUUCGAUUCCGGAGAGGGAGCCUGAGAAACGGCUACCACAUCCAAGGAAGGCAGCAGGCGCGCAAAUUACCCAAUCCCGACACGGGGAGGUAGUGACAAUAAAUACUGAUACAGGGCUCUUUUGGGUCUUGUAAUCGGAAUGAGUACAAUUUAAACCCCUUAACGAGGAACAAUUGGAGGGCAAGUCUGGUGCCAGCAGCCGCGGUAAUUCCAGCUCCAAUAGCGUAUAUUAAGUUGUUGCAGUUAAAAAGCUCGUAGUUGAACCUUGGGCCUGGCUGGCCGGUCCGCCUCACCGCGUGUACUGGUCCGGCCGGGCCUUUCCUUCUGGGGAGCCCCAUGCCCUUCACUGGGCGUGCGGGGGAACCAGGACUUUUAC